Molecule: long non-coding RNA, 544 nt
Organism: Poeciliopsis prolifica (blackstripe livebearer)
Lineage: Eukaryota; Metazoa; Chordata; Actinopteri; Cyprinodontiformes; Poeciliidae
Exons: 3
Source: RefSeq, a predicted model, not a curated record
CGUAGAAUAACAGCGUGCUCCAACUCCCAGUUAAAUAUGACCUUAAAUUCAAGGUCCAACCUUUGCUACUGCGUUAAGAGUCAGUAAAAGUUCUGUGCUGGAUUUAUGUGACCUGUCAGCCUGACCCAUCACCCUCAGUGGUCAGCAACAGUAGCACUGUUUUACAGAGGAUUCACACAAUCAAAUGUCUGUUUCACGAUGCAGCGCAAGAAAGACCAGAUGUUUCCUGUAGUUCUGGACCAGGCUUGCACUGCAGUAUGGGUUCUGGUCCACUCCUCCAGAGGAAGCGAAAGCAAAAGUUGAGACUCACUACAGAUUCUGAGAAAGUAGGGCAGAUUUGAGCCCAAGCACCAAAAGCCUAAGUGGAAACAGUCAAUGAACACAAACCAUGAAAUUAACUUUCAGGUUCUCAGCUCUGUUUAUGGGAAUCAUUAUGAGUCAAUCCAUCAAAGGAACAUCCCACUAUUUUCUACAUGGAGAUCUUGAGUAUGAAAACAUAUCAGUGUUAAUUUAUUGUCCUCUUAGGGCAAAUUUCCUUGCAGCA